Molecule: long non-coding RNA, 4849 nt
Organism: Loxodonta africana (African savanna elephant)
Lineage: Eukaryota; Metazoa; Chordata; Mammalia; Proboscidea; Elephantidae
Exons: 4
Source: RefSeq, a predicted model, not a curated record
ACCACAAGGGAAUUCCCGAGGGCUGGGUCAAGGCAAGCUCCAAGAGUCUCUCAGAAAUUUGAAGCUACUCUGAGGCCCAGUUAAAUACAGACCUGCAGAAAACUCCCAGCAUACUUCAGAAACGUCGGGGGACGUCUAGGGCUCUGAGACCAGACCAGAAUUUGGCUUCUGCUCUAAGAGAAGUGGGGUGCACAGUUCUCUGAAAAAAGGACCUGGACAGACACCCAAAUCCAUGAUGUCUACUACACUGGCCCACUGGAGAUGCAGGAAGACGCUUCCUCAGCAUGGGAUACCUGUUUCAGAAGAUUCUGGACAUUAAAAAUGGAUGAGGAUCAGCCCUAAAUAUAAUUCCUCAAGACCCAUAAGCCAGCCGAAAGGACAUGCAUGGAUUCUUCCAAGUGUACACCGACUGGGAGAGCUAGAUGCAUACAGGAAGAAUGGCAUUUGCUACUACUUCAUGGAUUUGCAUUUGCAACACCAGUGCUCUUGAACCUGUUCCCUUCCUGGGAGCCCUGGUGGUGCAAGGAUUAAAGCACUUGGCUGCUAACUGAAAGGUCAGUGGUUUGAACCCACCAGCCACUCCAAGGGAGAAUGUGGCAGUCUAUUUCCAUAAAGACUAUAGCCUUGGAAACCCUAUGAGACAGUUCUACUCUGUCCUAUAAGGUUGUUGAGUUGGAAUCAACUGGGCAGCAAUGGGUUUGGUUGUUUUGUUUUUUAUUUCUCUGUCUUUACUGCCACCAUCCUAGUCUAAGCCACCAUCAACUGAUCUCUCAUCCGGACUUCUUCAACAGUCUCCUGACCAGUUUACUUAUGUCCACUGUAGCUGUCUUCUAACCCAUUCUCUCCACCUUAGUCAGAGGGAUGUUGGCUAAUUGUAGAUACACUGCUGUCAGCACACGAACACAUACACACAUACACACACGCGCGCGCGCGUGCUCCUCUUUUAAAACUCUUAGAGUCCCUUUACAGCUAUGGGGUAGAGGGAUAGAACAGUCAGUUGGUCUUAGCUACUCUCUGUGAACUGUGACUCUAGAACUAGACAUAUCUUUUCUAGGUUUUUCCCUUCACGUCAUUUCAUUUUAUGUACUAGAGAAAAUAAAGAGGUCAUGAGAGGGAUGUUGGCAGGGACAAUGCUCCUUGACACCCGUCUUGUAGAGAAGUAUUGACACAGACACUAUGCAGAACACCAACACUAGUCCAAGACAUGUUUGUGGCUCGAACCAUACCCUCCAGACCCACAGGACCCCAACGACCAAGGGGCAUCCUCAGAAGAGUUCAAUUUGGGUGCCAGGAGAGAUGACAAAUUCCCCUUUGAAGGGACUCCCAAAGGAUAGUCAGCCUGUGGUGAUCUCAAAAGGAGCUAAAAAUACAAUUUGCAACAACACUGCAUUGCCUCGAGACUGCCAAAAUGUCUUCUAUUUCCUAGGUCUGUGUUUAUAUAUAAAUUAAUUUGAAGAGUGAACAGAAGCUUAAUUCAGCCAAAAACACUUUUGGAAAUUAUAUCUGGACAAAGUGUGUCGGCAGAAGGUGAAAAGAAUGAAGAGCUACCACCACCUAGUCACAACCCCUGACAGAGUAGAAUGUCUGUGGCACUCUUGCAUUUGUGUUUGCAUUUUAUGUUAUGGUACUCCCAAGUUACCCAAUCUCUCAUUUGAUGAUACAGUACAUUUUUAUAAUUGAGUCCAUGAAAUAAGGAAGUUUCCUCAUUACAAAAUAAAGUGGGGGAAGGGUUGGGCAUUAUUUUUGAGUUGGUAAUUAUCAGAACCCAAAACCAAGCAGUAAUCACAUGGCACCAUUAUUUUAAUCUGUUGUGUAGAAGUGGUUAAAAAUGCAUGCUUGGUUAAUAUUUUUAGCAGGCAAAAAAUUUACCAAGUUAAUGAGUUCUCUAUAAAACAGAGAAGUACUUUUUAUUGAGCUAGAAUAGAAUAUUUGGGUAGAAGGAAUUAACUUCCAUUUACUUUUAAUUUUUCUUUAAAUCUCCAAACAUUCAUAACCAUAGCUGGUAUGAGUUAUAAUUAUUAGUGUAAAUUUCUGUUUUCUUAUUCACAGAGAUAGUCUUCCAGACUCAGCAUCCAUUGGAGGCAUCAUUUGAGUGGUUUGUACAAUAAUAAGAAUUAGUCUGCCCCAAAGUAUCCACAUCACUCACCUGGACCCAAUUACAAGCACACCUGUUAUUUGCUGCAGUUUGAUUAUGGUAAAAUUUGUAAAACUGAUAAUCAAAUGUGCAAAUUUGGUCUCAUAUGAACUGCAACAUCAUUUGUUGGAAGACUCACUUGAGAUGCACUCUUUCUUUGAUUCCUCUGGAGAUAAUCCAGCUUCUGGAAGCCUCUGGCAUCAUGUGAAGUCCUGAUGAAAAACUACCCUAAGAUUCUGCCCUCCAAAAUAGCUCCCAAUAUGUUCUUGUUGUUGUUGUUAGGUGCAGUCAAGUCAGUUCCCACUCAUAGCAACCCUGUGUACACAACAAACCACUGCCUGGUCCUGCACCAUCCUCACAGUCAUUAUGUUUGAGCCAAUUGUUUCAGCAACUGUGUCAAUUCAUCUUGUUGAGGAGCUUCUGCUUUUUCACUGACCCUCUACCAAGCAUGAUGUCCUUCUCCAGGGACAGGUCCCUUCUGAUAACAUGUCCAAAGUACAUGAGACAAAGUCUAGCCAUCCUUGCUUCCAAGGUACACUCUGGCUGUAUUUCUUCCAAGGCAGAUUUGUUUGUUCUUCCGGUAGCCCGUGGUAUAUUCAAUGUUCUUCGCCAACACCAUAGUUCAAAGGUAUCAGUUGUUCUUCGGUCUUCUUUAUUCAUAGUCCAGCUUUCGCAUGUAUAUGAGGCAAUUGAAAACACCAUGGUUUGGGUCAGGUGCACCUUAGUCCUCAAAAUGACAUCUUUCCUUUGAACACUUUAAAGAGUUCUUUUGCAGCAGAUUUGCCCAAUUCAGUACGUCGUUUGAUUCCCUGCCUUCUGCCUAUAAGAAGACCCUGGAAGCUAAGGACACUGAAGAUACCUAAUUAAUUAGUACUCCACCAGGUAUCAGGCCACUCCCGGUCACCUCCCCACUAUGUCGCUGGCUUCCUCUAAGUUGUUUUUCAGACCCUGGAGAGCCCUAGAAGAGUCCAGAUCGAACCUGCUCAGAGUAGCCUGACAUGCGCAGAGCAGACCAUGAUGAUGAACGAAUGACCCUGGGCUGUCACGCAUGCUCAAUAAUGCAAGAGAACUUAUGUUAAGGAACCAAAAGACUCAUGCCAAGGAACCAAAAUCGCCAGAAAUGCAUCAUCUGCAAUAGUCGAGCCCAUUUCAAAAGCGUUUUGUCCAUAGGCCACUUCCGUGCGGAGUCUUAGCCCCGCCUCAUAAUAAAUUAUCAGUAGAAACUAUGAAUAGGUAAAACCUCUGAUCCAGCCCACCGUUUCCCUCCACACCUAAAUGAAUCUGUAUACGUAUUAAUUGUACAUUGCUUGCGCAGAUCAGGGAACUCAAUCCAAGGGCGAUACCUCUGAGUUCCCGCUCCUAGCCUUCAAAAUAAACUUUCUUCCUCUCAAAACCGGCCUCUGAGAGUUUGGCUUCUUGCCCGCUGGGCAUGGACCCUUUGGUCUGGUUUCAUGCUUCCAUGGUUGUUGAUUGUGGAUCCACGUAAAACGAAAUCCUUGACAACAUCGAUCUUUUCUUUUAUCAUGAUGUUACUUAUUGGUCCAGUUGUAAGGAUUUUUGUUUUCCCUAUGGUGAGGACAUUUUUAUUUUCUUUGUGUUAUAGGACAGCCUAGAACUGCCCCACAGGGUUUCCAACUGCCGACCUUUUGGUUAGCAGCUGAAUGCUUAACCGCUGCACCACCAGGGCUCCUUAAAAAAAAUCCUUAGCUAAUGCUAAAAGCAUUAUCUGGUUUUUAUGAAAUGGCUGUGUGCCUCUGUGUAAAAUAAUGCAUGAUGCUAUCAGAAGGAAGCCAAAGUUCAUAGAGAUUCAUAUUUUUCUGUUUUGUCAAAUACAGGAACAUUGAAAGAACCAAUGAAUCAAAUAAAUGGGUGUGCUCAAUGUUCCUCUCCUCAACAUCGUUUUUUUUUUUUUUUGGAAUGCAAGGUAGAAGAGUGGGGUGGACAACAUCUCAACAGUGAGACGUUGUCACAGCUUCCUUUCAAAUCUCUCAGAUUUCCCAUCAGAGCGGUAGAAAUUUAGAAACUGUGACCAUUUUUCACAUUUGUCCAUCUGGAGACAGUCCAGGAGAAAAAAAACAAAGCAGUCCCACUGCUAUAUCAAGUUGUUGAUCUUCCAGAAAUUAAUUGUUUAUAUAUCAUUCCACCAGAUUAAUAAAUAUAUAUUUUUAUUCUAAAAUAAAUUCUAGAAAUUUCAGAAUCAUUGCUUCAUAUCAUAGCACAGACCUUUUAGAAGUAAAUGAGAAAAUUAUUUUUAAAAUAAGCUUUAGAGUUACUUAAAAUUAAAAAAAAAAAAGCUCUAAAAUAUUGCAAGGUCUUUCUCUAUAAAUGUAGGAAUAAAUCAAAAUUGAAAGCAUUCUAAAGUCAGAUAUCCAAUAUUGUAUCAUCACAGAAGUAUGUGACAGGAAUUGAAGCAACACAGCUGAAGUCAACACACACACACACACACAAUACACACUGCACCAGAAUUUUUUUUUUCACUUUCACAGGAGAAAAAAACAUAACUUUUCUCAAGAGUUUACAUGCCAUGUGAUUGCUCUGGUUUCAAUAAAUAAGAUCUAGAAAAAAAAGUUUAUUAUUGUCAAAAAUUCAACAAUAAAUACAUGAAAUGUGGUGCAAAUUUAUUUUAUGACUGCCAUAAAUUCAACUUUCCAUGGUUUGAAAAUUUUCACUCAUUUUUCAUUAAUGUUCUUCACCAUUAUUGCAUGCCUAAAAAAA